RNAcentral lists this ribosomal RNA (231 nucleotides) under uncultured bacterium. RNAcentral's name for it is "partial 16S ribosomal RNA". It matches the Rfam family "Bacterial small subunit ribosomal RNA", at positions 103 to 334 of the family's 1533-position model. The record is from RNAcentral.
CGGGUGAGUAACGCGUGGGUAACCUGCCUUAUACAGGGGGAUAACAGUUGGAAACGGCUGCUAAUACCGCAUAAGCGCACGGCAUCGCAUGAUGCAGUGUGAAAAACUCCGGUGGUACAAGAUGGACCCGCGUCUGAUUAGCUGGUUGGUGAGGUAACGGCCCACCAAGGCGACGAUCAGUAGCCGGCCUGAGAGGGUGAACGGCCACAUUGGGACUGAGACACGGCCCAG